This 334-nucleotide long non-coding RNA is filed under the name Citrus sinensis (sweet orange). Its description in RNAcentral is "long non-coding RNA (CSIN_LNC005395)". Lineage: Eukaryota; Viridiplantae; Streptophyta; Magnoliopsida; Sapindales; Rutaceae. The record is from RNAcentral.
CCGUUUAAAGGUUUAAGGUUUGUUACAUAUGCUAAAUGCAUAUGUUUUUUCUUUUUCUUUUUUUCAUUUUAGAUUUGCUUGAGGACAAGCAUAGGUUAAGUGUGGGGGAAUAUGAAAAGUGUAUAUCUUCUUUAUAUUUUACUAUUAAUUUCUUCAUUUUUUUUGUUUUUUUUAAAUAUUCUAGUUAUUUUAGUUAAUUUUUAAUUUAAUAAUUUAUUUUGAUUUAAUUUAAAUUUUUCAUCUUUAGUUUAACUUAUAAUUUAAUUAUCCUUAAUUUUGUUUUUAGUAUGGGUGAAAAAUUCAAAGAGAGAAAAUUGGAAUAUAGCUAGGCCCC